This 802-nucleotide long non-coding RNA is filed under the name Fukomys damarensis (Damara mole-rat). Its description in RNAcentral is "lncRNA (ENSFDAG00000024057.1)". Lineage: Eukaryota; Metazoa; Chordata; Mammalia; Rodentia; Bathyergidae. The record is from RNAcentral.
GAGAAGCUACACAGAGGGGACGGUGGGACAUGCGAGCAUCUGGGCAGCCCUGGUCAAGGUCAAGGCCACAAAUGUGCAGAGCUUCUCAGAUGGCUGAGCCCUGGGGAAGCAAGGACAGAGAGGAGCAGGGGCGCCCUCUACAGGAGCGAUGGGCUAUUGGUGAAGAAAGAUCCCGCAGGACUCUGGAUCCUAAACCGACAUGGCGAAGGCAGGCUGGGAUGGAGUGAGGCACAGGCCAUGAUGGGCUUUAAGUAGGUGGAGAGCUGUGAACGCUGCCAGAAGUUUGUUUUUUUUUUUUCUUCCACAGAAAUAUGUGGAACAUGUUAUGUGAUCCAUUCCUAGGAAAAGUCUGGCAGGCUUCUUCAUGUUAGAUCAUCCCAACAAUACCUGUGCUUCUGACACUCAUGUUGUGACGUCUUCUCCGUAUCUCUGUCUUCAGCCAAAGAAGUGAAGGGAAAGCAAGUGUGCUACAAAUACAGCUCCACGGCAGACUCGGUUUCCCAGUGUCCAAAAACCGUGGAUGUCUUCUGUCACUUUACCAACGCCGCCAACAGUUCAGUUCGCAGCUCUUCUAUGAAGCUCUCUCUGGUUCCCGGGUACAACAUCACGUGCCGGGACCCCGCCAUCGGGGUUGGGGAGCCCGGGAAGGUCAUCCAGAAGCUGUGCCAGUUCUCAGACAUCUCCCGGAGCCCUGACAGCACCGUGGGUGGGACCAUCACCUACAAAUGCGUGGGUUCCCAGUGGCAGGUGGAGCGGGAGGGCUGUAUCUCCGCCCCCAUCAAUGGCCUGCUCCAGCUGGCAG